UUGCGGUUAAAAAGCUCGUAGUUGGAUCUCGGCAAGUAGAGGGCGGUAUGCUUCGUAGCAUUACUGCCCUAUUACUUGUAGUUUUGCCAGAGGUUCCUGGGUGCUCUUAAUCGAGUGUCUAGGGAUGCUGGCAGGUUUACUUUGAAAAAAUUAGAGUGCUCAAAGCAGGCUAUUACGCUUGAAUAUUCGUGCAUGGAAUAAUAGAAUAGGAAGUUGUUUCUAUUUUGUUGGUUUUCGGAAAUCGACUUAAUGAUUAAUAGGGACAGUCGGGGGCAUUUGUAUUCAAACGACAGAGGUGAAAUUCUUGGACCGUUUGAAGACAAACUACUGCGAAAGCAUUUGCCAAGAAUGUUUUCAUUAAUCAAGAACGAAAGUUAGAGGUUCGAAGGCGAUUAGAUACCGCCCUAGUCCUAACCAUAAACGAUGCCAGCUAGCGAUCUGAGGACGUUUUUUUUGUAGACUCCUCAGGAAGCUUCCGGGAAACCAAAGCGUGUGGGUUCCGGGGGAAGUAUGGUUGCAAAGCUGAAACUUAAAGGAAUUGACGGAAGGGCACCACCAGGAGUGGAGCCUGCGGCUUAAUUUGACUCAACACGGGAAAUCUCACCAGGCCCGGGACACUGGAAGGAUUGACAGAUUGAGAGCUCUUUCUCGAUUCGGUGGGUGGUGGUGCAUGGCC
RNAcentral lists this ribosomal RNA (676 nucleotides) under uncultured marine eukaryote. RNAcentral describes it as "SSU rRNA". It matches the Rfam family "Eukaryotic small subunit ribosomal RNA", at positions 613 to 1289 of the family's 1831-position model. The record is from RNAcentral.